GACGAACGCUGGCGGCGUGCUUAACACAUGCAAGUCGAACGAUGAAGCGGGUGCUUGCCCUCGUGGAUUAGUGGCGAACGGGCGAGUAACACGUGAGUAACCUGUCCUUUUCUUUGGGAUAACGGCUGGAAACGGCUGCUAAUACUGGAUAUUCAGGCUGCAUCGCAUGGUGUGGUUUGGAAAGGUUUUUUCUGGGAUUGGGUGGGCUCGCGGCCUAUCAGCUUGUUGGUGGGGUGAUGGCUUACAAAGGCUUUGACGGGUAGCCGGCCUGAGAGGGUGGUCGGUCGCACUGGGACUGAGAUACGGCCCAGACUCCUACGGGAGGCAGCAGUGGGGAAUAUUGCACAAUGGACGAAAGUUUGAUGCAGCGACGCCGCGUGGAGGGUGUAGGCCUUCGGGUUGUGAACUCCUUUUUCUCGCGAAAAAGGCACAGUUUUGGCUGUGUUGAUGGUAGUGGGGGAAGAAGCGCCGGCUAACUACGUG
This 483-nucleotide ribosomal RNA is filed under the name uncultured bacterium. RNAcentral's name for it is "partial 16S ribosomal RNA". It matches the Rfam family "Bacterial small subunit ribosomal RNA", at positions 28 to 507 of the family's 1533-position model. The record is from RNAcentral.